UUGGAAGUUUAAAGCCAUAGCAGAAGCACUCAUGGUGUGGUCCUGCCAGAUUCCAAUGAAUCUGUAAAUUCUGCU
RNAcentral lists this ribozyme (75 nucleotides) under Crocodylus porosus (Australian saltwater crocodile). RNAcentral describes it as "Mammalian CPEB3 ribozyme (ENSCPRG00005012428.1)". It matches the Rfam family "Mammalian CPEB3 ribozyme". Rfam says of the family: The mammalian CPEB3 ribozyme is a self cleaving RNA located in the second intron of the CPEB3 gene which belongs to a family of genes regulating messenger RNA polyadenylation. This ribozyme is highly conserved and found only in mammals. There is currently only one other known self cleaving ribozyme in mammals, the CoTC motif. The record is from Rfam by way of RNAcentral. Lineage: Eukaryota; Metazoa; Chordata; Crocodylia; Crocodylidae.